CCAAAGGCUCUUUUCAGAGCCACCCCCGUGUUCCUAGAAAGAGCAGG
Apaloderma vittatum (bar-tailed trogon) is the source of this 47-nucleotide non-coding RNA. The record is from Rfam. Lineage: Eukaryota; Metazoa; Chordata; Aves; Trogoniformes; Trogonidae.